RNAcentral lists this long non-coding RNA (363 nucleotides) under Glycine max (soybean). RNAcentral's name for it is "long non-coding RNA (GMAX_LNC001352)". Lineage: Eukaryota; Viridiplantae; Streptophyta; Magnoliopsida; Fabales; Fabaceae. The record is from RNAcentral.
CCAUAUUCAAAAUUUUAAACAUAACAUUGUAGCAUCUUAAUAACAAGGGGAAAAAUGCAAUUUUCAUGGCAUACAAUAAAUAAAAAAAGAAGUGGUGUAGGUGCCUGGUUCAUGCAAAAUAAAUAAAGAAAUGUUGGUUAGAGGAAUCAGAUGCCCACAAUCUUGAAGAUGAUGAAGCAGAGGAAACCCAGGAAAAUCAAGAGGUAAAGGUAAUCAACGAAUACAAAGAAUCCGGUGGAUCCAUGAUUCCUCUUCUUCUUGGUUUUGGACACGGAAUUGUCUAUUUCUUCCAGCUUCGCCAUUGGUACGGAUUGAAGCCUUGUGUGUGUUCUUGAGACAACUAUUUAUUGAAUUGCAUGAAUC